GCUGUUUGGGGGGAAGGGGGCAGCUUUGUCAAGAGAAAAGGGCAGUGGAGGGAGUGGGGUGGGGUGGGGUGGGGUUAGGGGUGGGAAAGGCCGAAAGACAGUGGAGGGGAGCAGGAGUAGGGGUGUUCGCAGUUUGGGUUGGUGUGGUUUGGAAUGUAACUGUAACACCCCAAUUUUUGAAACAGUUUAUUAUUUAUUUUAUUAACUAUAUUAUAUAUUUUAGUUUAUUUAAUAAUUGAAUUCAUUUAUCUUUAGGAAUUAUUUUGUAAAUAAUUUAUAUGCUUAAAGUGGGACAAGUUUAGUAAGUAAUUUAACUAAUAAUAGUAAUAAGAGGAAAUAUACUCACAUAUAUGUAAGAAGGGGGAAAAGGGAAAAAUAAAACAAGAAAAGAAAAAGGAAAGAAAAAAAAAAUAACAAAACAAAAGAACGACAUUCAUGACGGUGCUUCACCACCGUUCAACAUCUUCACCAUCUUCUUCUCUCAAAAUAUUUGACAUUCUUCCUUCAUCACACAACCACCACCGUUGCCGAUGACACAACCCCAAACGCCACUAGAGGUGACACCAUAGAAGUAGGCGGCGCAAGGGAAAGCAAAGGGGGUCGUUGUUGCUGUAAUUUGGAGCAUUUAGUGCUCGAAUUAAGGGAGUUUGCAAGUUAUUUUUCAUCCCCAAUCUUCUAUAUUAGUGGAUUCCGGUUACAUUGAGGAGCCGUAUUGACUGAGCUAGUUGGUUUGAUAUAGUUUAAAAGGUACAUGAAGGCUUUGAGUCGGGGUAUGGGCGGAGAGCAACGUCCACUAGUUUUGCGUAAAUAUAGUUAUAAUAGUUUUGUUCUGGUGCAUUUCUUAUAUAUAAUCAAUAUUUUGAGACUUAGGGUUGUAAAUAUUAAUCCACCUAAAUCUUUAUUCGGUUGGGUUGUAAUAGUUUAAAAUAAGCUUUAAUUUAGUUUUGGUGCAGGUAGUUCUUCCUUAGCGAUUAUUCUCGUAAUAAUCGUGGAAUAACACGUUUGGAUUUCGAGUAGUUAUACAGGAAUUUCGUUGGUAUUUGAAA
Beta vulgaris subsp. vulgaris (sugar beet) is the source of this 1046-nucleotide long non-coding RNA. RefSeq lists it as uncharacterized. The record is from RefSeq and is a predicted model, not a curated record. The transcript is spliced from 2 exons. NCBI's taxonomy places the organism in Eukaryota, Viridiplantae, Streptophyta, Magnoliopsida, Caryophyllales, Amaranthaceae.